RNAcentral lists this non-coding RNA (117 nucleotides) under unclassified sequences. RNAcentral's name for it is "drum RNA". It matches the Rfam family "drum RNA". From Rfam's summary of the family: Firmicutes, Bacteroidetes (1 example), Proteobacteria (2 examples), Spirochaetes (2 examples). The record is from Rfam by way of RNAcentral.
AAGCAAUGAAAUGCCGUGCCUGUCAAGAGGUGACUGCAUGGAGCUUCUCACAGGGGGUUGCACAGAUUCCACAACUUGACUGAGGCAGCAUCCUGCUGUUGAAAGAAAAUGUGCUGC